ACGGGGGGUGCGAACGUUGUUCGGAAUUAUUGGGCGUAAAGAGCGUGUAGGCGGCUGAGUAAGUCAGAUGUUAAAUCCCUGGGCUUAACCCAGGACGUGCAUUUGAAACUAUUCGGCUAGAGUAGUGGAGGGGAGAGUGGAACUCAUAGUGUAGAGGUGGAAUGCGUAGAUAUCAGGAGGAACGCCGGUGGCGAAGGCAGCUUUCUGGCCCUAUACUGACGCUGAGGCGCGAGAGCGUGGGUAGCAAUCAG
RNAcentral lists this ribosomal RNA (251 nucleotides) under uncultured prokaryote. RNAcentral's name for it is "partial 16S rRNA". It matches the Rfam family "Bacterial small subunit ribosomal RNA", at positions 525 to 775 of the family's 1533-position model. The record is from RNAcentral.